ACACAAUUUCACAUUUCUACAAAAUUCAAUAUUCUUUUCUUAUUGUACUUGUAUUUGUGUAUUUCGGCCUUGAGACUCAACGACUCGAUGUUGGAUAUCUAUAGUGGUAUGUACCUAUAUCUGUCUAUAUCUUCCACGAUAUCUAUCUAUAUCUAGAGUGAAAGUUAGCACGACCUAUUUCGAAUAAUAUACGAAAAUUCUUAAUAAAAAAACAAAAACUCAAACUCACGAACACAUUCAGAAACCGAAACUACAAAAUUUUACUCAAUCUAACCCUCAAUAUUAGCAAAAAUAUGAAAGAUUCUUACGUGACACGACCGAGCACAACGGUGUUAUAUUACUAGUGUGAACGAGAGAAAAUAUAAAACACAUCCUUACAACACGUUUGUUAAAAAGGGACAGAAGAUGCCUGGGAAAGCUAUACCAUAAAUGCUCAAAUUAUUGGCACAUUUCCUUUCGAGAUUUAUGAAAAACCACAAUCCCAAACCCCCGAGAAUACGGCUUCGACGGCUGGAUGGAAUGAUUUCGUCGACGGGGUUCACACGAAGAGUUCGGAAACACUAAUAAUUCAAAGUGUAUCGUAACUCCUAGUACUGGAAUAAGAAUAUCGAGUUGCUAGUAUCUUCUGUUCUUGGUCGGAUUACUUUAUAAUUUAACUAGGUACUGGUCUGAUCUUCAGUAGUCUGUGGAGUGGAAUUUUCGGCGGGAAUGCAUGUGAAAUGUUUUUCAUUGUUAGUGCAUAAAUAAUGUACCAUAAUGCUUCUACACAUGCAUUAAGUGUACAAUUAUUAUCUAUGGUGUUUCUUAAAUUCUCAACGAGUUCUAAUGGUGGCAUAUGAACAUUUAGCAUUUGGGAAAAUGCUUAGGAAAAUUGAAAUAAAAUCGUAGGAAGUGGCUUCUUCAUUUCCUCCACAAUGUUUAUUGAACUCUGAGUAAAUUCCAGCCAUUUUGCUAUGAGGUUUCAUCAUUUCAUUUCAUCCAAUAGGUACCUACAAUGUAA
Bombyx mori (domestic silkworm) is the source of this 1000-nucleotide long non-coding RNA. RefSeq lists it as uncharacterized. The transcript is spliced from 3 exons. The record is from RefSeq and is a predicted model, not a curated record. NCBI's taxonomy places the organism in Eukaryota, Metazoa, Arthropoda, Insecta, Lepidoptera, Bombycidae.